Molecule: unclassified non-coding RNA, 334 nt
Filed under: Hevea brasiliensis (rubber tree)
Lineage: Eukaryota; Viridiplantae; Streptophyta; Magnoliopsida; Malpighiales; Euphorbiaceae
Source: RNAcentral
AAGAAGAAGAAGAAUAGAGAGAAGGCAGAAAUCUCAGAGAAGAAGGAGAAUUAGAGGGAAGAAGAGAGGAAGAGAGAAGAGCAGAAGAAACCUGGUAUUUGGGAAGAGUGAUCUGUCAUAGAUGCAACUCCCAUGAAGCAAUUUCUAGUAGUUGCUCACUGUUCUAACAGCUCCGUUAUCAAUUUGUUAUGUAACCAGAUUCUCCAUCUCAGAAAGAAUAGAGAUAAAGAGGAAAUAGAAGGGGGAGAAGGAAUAGAAGAAGACAGGAGGGGAGAAAGAAUAGAUUUAGGAAGAAAAGAAUGAAGAUUUUAUUGAUAAUAUUCUGGAAUAGUUU